AAACUAACUAGGAUUCCCCUAGUAACGGCGAGUGAACCGGGAUGAGCUCAAAUUUAAAAUCUGGCGUCUUUCAGGCGUCCGAGUUGUAAUCUAUAGAGGCGUUUUCCGCGCCGGACCGCGUCCAAGUCUCUUGGAAUAGAGUAUCAAAGAGGGUGACAAUCCCGUACUUGACGCGACAACCGGUGCUCUGUGAUACGUUCUCAAUGAGUCGAGUUGUUUGGGAAUGCAGCUCUAAAUGGGUGGUAAAUUCCAUCUAAGGCUAAAUAUUGGCGAGAGACCGAUAGCGAACAAGUACCGUGAGGGAAAGAUGAAAAGCACUUUGGAAAGAGAGUUAAACAGCACGUGAAAUUGUUAAAAGGGAAACGAUUGAAGUCAGUCGUGUGAAAGGUAUUCAGCCGUCUCUGGCGGUGUAUUUGCCUUUCACGGGUCAACAUCAGUUUGAUCCGGUAGAAAAAGGCGGGAGGAAGGUGGCACCCUCGGGUGUGUUAUAGCCUCCUGUCAUAUGUGCCGGACCAGACUGAGGAACGCAGCUUGCCGCAAGGCCGGGGUUCGCCCACGUACAAGCUUAGGAUGUUGACA
RNAcentral lists this ribosomal RNA (579 nucleotides) under Vishniacozyma victoriae. RNAcentral's name for it is "eukaryotic LSU rRNA". It matches the Rfam family "Eukaryotic large subunit ribosomal RNA", at positions 62 to 631 of the family's 3401-position model. Lineage: Eukaryota; Fungi; Basidiomycota; Tremellomycetes; Tremellales; Bulleribasidiaceae. The record is from RNAcentral.